Gasterosteus aculeatus aculeatus (three-spined stickleback) is the source of this 5135-nucleotide long non-coding RNA. Lineage: Eukaryota; Metazoa; Chordata; Actinopteri; Perciformes; Gasterosteidae. The record is from Ensembl.
GCUGCACCGGGGCGGACCGCUCGCCCCGUGACUCCUUCCCCUUUCCUCGCGGUCCCCGCCCCCACCGCGCCGCGCCCCGCCCCCACCGCGACCUCUCCGCGCUGCGCUACACGUCCCCGCGACCACGAUCCUUCAGGCGAGGAGACCCGGGAUCAUGGUCCCGCUCUGCUGCCCGUCAGCGGGCGGCUUUUCAGCAGAACCCACGGGGACCCUGUGGAGAAACGGGAUGCGGAAUCUGUGAGCAGGAGCCGCUGCUUUUUCCUUCACUUGCUUUGGCCUCAACCUCGGGGAUUGUUGCGGGAGGAUGAGCGUGAAGAGGAAGAAGCCUGGGCUGGUCAUCAGCUGGCAGAAGUCCUUCUCCCUCCUGGCUCCUUGGAGGAAAGGGAAAGGAGACAGAGACGCGGUUCUGGACAGAGAGGUUGUUCUGACCAAAAUGAAGCUCUUCAGCAACAUCCACAAGAUGCUUCCGACGGCCGACGACUCGGCCUCCACCAUCUCAACUGUGUCCGUUUCGGAGCAGGACGUCUGUGACCCCAGCAAACCCUCUGAAGUACGUUCCCACCGCGUUGACGAGCCGGGCCGGCUUCAGACGGAGUCCGUCUCACGGCACCCGGCCUCGGACUCUCGGCUGACGAGGUCGUACAAGUUUGAGUCGGAGGACUCUGGAGUGGAGCUGCCCAGCGGCGCGGACUCUCCGUCCACCCCGACGAGCUCUGAGCAGAGCUUCACUGUCCACAGCCGAGAGUCCUCCUGCAACCGGAACUCCGACGCCGGCGCCGCCCCCGAUGACCUGGUGCCACUCACGCAGCUCCCGGAGAGCAAACAGGCGCCGGGCUCAGCGGACGAUGGUGCGAGUGCAGCAGCGGGGGCUCUGAAUGACGGUUUCAUACACUCAGAGGAGCUCAGUUCAGCCGUGGGUGCAGAGCGGCGCGCAGGUGAGGAGGUGGACGGGGACCAGAGCGGGGGGUCGGGAGCCAGCCCUGAGAGAGACGAGGACAUGCCGGGACAGCUUGAGGAAACCUGCGCCGAAACCGAGAGGACCUGCUUCCGAGGAGACGGCAGCCACUUCGAGCCGGCGCCUCGGCGGAGCCGUGAGACCAGAGACAGCCUGGAGGACUACAUGGACCAAUGCUGCAGACUGAGUGAGGCACAGCAAGCGAGUUCCAACCCUCCGGGCUCGGGCCUGGAUUACCUGGAUCACAUCUGCCAACUCAUCGCCAGGAUCGGCCACCUGCAGGAGAACAACCUCCAGCUGCAGCGGCAGAUCUACAGCCUUCAGAAGGACAGCAGGACGGCAAAGACCAAAGAGGACUUUUUCCAGCAUCACUGCAGCUGUGGGGCGGCCUGCUUGUCUUUCCAGGACAUUCAGAAGAGACAGUCCAGAAGUGACUUCUCGUCCCCCAGUGGGACCCUCUCUGACCUGUCCACCAUCCCCGAGGUCACCCGGCCUCCACUCUUACCAGCCCGAGGAGGUAAUGUUAUGACGUGUUUUACUUACUGGAAGGAAAUUAUACAGAAAUACUGGAGAAUAUUAUCAUACACAUGCAAAUGAGAAGUGUUGAGCUGGAAAAACCGUCCUACAAGUGUGAGUUUGAUGGUACAAACCAUGAAUAUUUAGAGAGGGUUGGUUGGUCUAGUAGAUGUGUAAUAAUGCACGUUCCCCCCUCACUUACCUUUGUUAGACUGCAGAUCCCAAGAUGUUGCUUUGGUGGGUUCAUCGUGAUCACAUCUGAUCAGAAUUGAUGGAACCAACGAGCAGCAGCAGGAAAUGCAGGGAUGAAGUUAUUACCAGUAACUUCUCUAUAUGCAACUUACUGUAAUUCAGUAAAGGCACUAGGCUUCGUUCUUUGGUGCACACUGUUUCCCAACCACGAAACAGUCGUUUUCUCUGGAGGUCACUGAAUCCACCCUAAACAAACACACGUGCACGACUGCAUAUUAAUGUUUUCCUGACGUGUUCCUCCAUUGGAUCAGUUACUCCAGGUAUGCUAUUGGAAGGCUCUCGUAGGGCUUAGGUUUCCUGCUAUCAUUAUUGUUUUCGUGGCAGGUCACGGUGGCUGACCGCUGGGUGGUCCUAAGGGGAAAAUUAAAUUAUGACUCAAGUGGGACACGGGGCGGAAUUCCCGGCAUCCCGCUCAGAGUCCACAGGAACAUAUGAUGUCCCGUGGACUCUGGAAUGCCUUCGUUCUUCCUCUCAAAGUCAGGAAACUGGAUCUGGAGAAGAGGUUAAGAAAUCAGGACGGGGUGGGGGGGGCAGAUUAGGUACAAUAAGGGUUAAAUAGCUCUCGCUGGGCCACGGUGAAGUAGAACCAUACAGGGUUAAUUUAGUUCCCAACGGAUAAUACGUGGCGGUUCCUGGUAGAGCCUCUUCUGAAGGUUGCAUCUCAGUUCUCCAUGGACUUGGAGGAAGGCUUACAUUGAUGUGGGAUGUGGCAUUCGCUGACAAACAGGAAGAGGACAUAUAGUACCUUCCUUUCAACAACGCAAAGUGCUGCACAUCAGUGGUCCCCCCCCACCCGGGUCCCGGUGCCGUGGGCACCAAGCCGCACAGGAAGAAUAAAUAACCUUUUUUUCUCCAAAUGACCCAAUUCUCUUCCCAAUUACAAGAACGUGUCCCUUUUGUCACGUGUCAACUGGUUUCCCGACGCCUGCGUGUUUGUGCUGUGGUCCUUGCAGAGCGCCACAGUAUUUGGCGUUAUUCCCUUAGUGAGCUGGAACCACGUCUGUGUGGAGGAAACCUUCUGCUGUCGGGGGAUGUGAAACCUUGUCUUAGAGCACUAAUCUAAGCAGACAGCUCUGACUGGUACUACGAUGGAUCUGUAUCCACUCGCAUCGCCUGCUUUCAAAGAGUUGGAGAUAGAAUAGUGAUGCAUUACAUGCUGUGAACUUGGCCACUUUCGAUGGCUGCUGGUCCCCCACACACUGGGGUCCAACAGCGAUGGACGAUGUUUCAGACAUGAGCGGUGCGGGUUUGACACCCGUCCAACUGUGGAGGACGGGCUUGUACCGGAGGAGUUACACCGAGGGGGAAGAGCCCUUCCUCAGCCACAGCACCGAGGCGCUCUCCAUCCCCCAGCGAAGGGUGAGUCACAUCUCCACACCGGGCUGACUGCACAAAGCACAUUACGCAUUCUCUUGGUAUCUCUUACGGAGGGAAGUUUCCAUCUGAAGUCCCAUGAGGCCAACUGGAGUGCAUGAGUAGAAAAUGGAAUGAAAAAGGUGUCACGGAGACCUGUGGGGCUCCACAAGUCACACAGUUUGUUAUAACUGUCUCUGUCUUGUGUUCAGCUCAGCGAAAACUGCACAUGGGGACGAGUCAAAGACCUGGUGAGGAAGACUAAGGUGAAGAACCAAAGCCGGCUGCGCCUGAAUUCUGCCUCCCUGGAGAGGUCCUGCCCACAGCUCUACAUGUGAGAAACACUCGCGGACUGUAAAUGAAUAGAUAUGAAUAGACUGUUUGUGCUGUUCUCUGAAUAGAAGAAACGUGGGCAGAUGUUAACUUGCUUGUAACGUCAUGAUCGCGAGGGGAAACUUGUUAUAAUGCCGCAGCAGAUUGCUUUGGUUUUUCAUUAAUGACUAAAUUGAGAUUUACAGUAAAUAUGUUAGCUGCUACUGAAGGAAAUACUGCUGUUAAAAAGCAUCUUAUUUCUUUAAAGUGUUUGCACAAAUGAAAGUACUACUUUUUAAAAUAAUCAUGUCAUUUUACUUAUAACAAUUAAGAAAAUGAUGCAAUUAAUUGUGAUUGUUGCCACGUUAAAAGAUAAGAAAAGUAGAAGCAUCGUGAACACUGAAAAUCCUUAAAUCAGUUUUCCUAUCAAAGAUAACACCUUGUUUUGGGAGGGAUGUCGAAACAUACUAGAUGGAAAUGGCGCUGCCUCUACUUCCUGGCUUUCUUGAGAAGAAGAAGGAAUGACGGAAAUGCAGAAUGGAAUGAGAAAGGAGUGUCGGAUGGUGGUUCUCGGGAGGUGGAGCAGUAUCUGUUGGGAGGUGUUGGCCCUGGAUCCUGACCGGGGGCUGGCAUGGGCCCAGCAGAACAUGAGGGGGGUUGGAGAGUCACGGUAUGCCUCGAGGAGGGGGAGGAUUGCCCCCCGGCCCGUCCAGGACUCGUUAGAAGCAACCGCACCCUCCUGCCGAGACACAUGCAACGGGCGCCUGCAGCGCUGACGAGCCGCAAUGAGGGGAAAUAUGUGUCUGUCACAGCCGCAGGCCGAGCUGCUGGGACAGAAACACCGUAAACACGAUAAUAACGGUCUCCUCUUCUUUACAGGCCUGACGUGGAACCAUUAGAACCCGCUUGCAGAGACAGGAGCUCCAUGAUAGCCUUGGGCCACCACAGCAAACUGGACGUCCCUUGGUUACAAUAAACAUGGAGGAGGGACACGCAUCCGUUCUGGGAGAAUAACCACCACGCACCAUCCAGCAAUCCUCAAGCCAUUAUUUUAUUAAAGGCUGUUGAAGUGGUCCGAUAAAGGAUGGGCUCCGGGAGAGAAGGGACACAUUCUGGGGCUUUACAAUCCACUACAUGAUGCGGCUGCUGCAAUGCUGCCAUUUUUGGGCUAAAAAAAUAAAGAAAAAUUGACUUGAUACACAACUAAGAUUACUCGGAAUGUGCCUCAGUCUGAACACACUUUCAGAAGCUUGUAAACGUUAAAGUUGGCUGGACGUUUUCUUUGGAAUGCACAGUGCAAAAUAUACUAAAUCAAUAUUGUAAAGUUGAUAUUCUCGCUAUCAAAAGAACAUUUCUUGAUCGCUAAGUCACACCCUCAUCUUUGCACAAUGGAUGGAGAACAAACGAUAAUAACACAGAUAACAAUUGUCAUUUGUUUAUGUCAGAGUAACAAACAGCUGGUUGGUUGAUUGGGACAUUGUGAUGCAUUUCAUUUCCAACGUCACACUUGUACCAUUAUGUGGUUUGGAUGUCAGGACUCUACUGCAUGCUAUUGUACUCCAAAACGGGAAAACUGUAAGUAAACUAUUGCAUUUAAGUAGAAUUUUGUAAGACAAUAACUUUUUCUAAUAAGUUAUAUCUGAGGUUUAUCUGCAUGGCGUCAGACAACUAUAUAUGUAUUUUAUGUUUCUGUAUGGAUAUUGCAUUCAUAUUCAAAUGUAUUUUUUAAUAAAAAUUCAAUCCAAAG